Molecule: non-coding RNA, 26 nt
Filed under: Cricetulus griseus (Chinese hamster)
Lineage: Eukaryota; Metazoa; Chordata; Mammalia; Rodentia; Cricetidae
Source: RNAcentral
GUUAUAGCGACAGAAAGUGGACUGUG